Molecule: long non-coding RNA, 685 nt
Organism: Austrofundulus limnaeus
Lineage: Eukaryota; Metazoa; Chordata; Actinopteri; Cyprinodontiformes; Rivulidae
Exons: 2
Source: RefSeq, a predicted model, not a curated record
AGUCAUGCUACUGCACUGAUGCUCAAAGCAGAGCUAUGGGUCAGGAGUUGGAUGACCGAGGAGGCUACCUCAGGGACAAAGCAGUGACCUCUCUCAUCCAGAAGAGAAGUGAAAGCAGCCAGACUGAGUGAAAUCUGUGUCAGAGGGCCAAAGCGGACAGACUUAACAGCCAGACGGAAGAGACAAAAGCUCAACAUCAAAGAGGUGACAGAUGAAGACCUUAAGAAAAUGAAACUGCUGGAACCCAAGGCAGCUGUGCUCACUAGUCUGGACKUCAGUGACACAGUUAGUGCGUCAGCAUCUGACCAGGAGAACUAAGUCCUGAUGGAGCGCUUUGUAUGAUGAUAAAUUACUGGAUUGGGCGUCACGUGACMUAGGGAAUUGAGCUAAAGCUAACRCUAACCAUUGAAAUCAAUGAGCAGAAUAUAGUGUGGUUCAAACAAAUGUUUAAUAAAUGUACAAACAGYACAAACACUUUGCUAUAAUCYGCAGAAAUUGUUACAAGUUUASAAGAGCAAAAAGGAUUAUGUUUUACAGGUAGAUAUUUUGCAGGUAAAUAUAUGAUUUUARCAGUAAAACCUGUUUGCUAACAUUUAAAAAAGUUUCAAUGUUCAUGUUUGGCCUUUUGUAGAAUCAAUUAUUUGUUGUCAAAUAUAUUAUUUACACAUUAAACAAGUAAAAUGUG